This is a long non-coding RNA of Etheostoma spectabile (orangethroat darter), 139 nucleotides long. RefSeq lists it as uncharacterized. NCBI's taxonomy places the organism in Eukaryota, Metazoa, Chordata, Actinopteri, Perciformes, Percidae. The transcript has 3 exons. The record is from RefSeq and is a predicted model, not a curated record.
UGGCCGAUGAUGACAUCAUGCUGCUGGACAACGGCAAAGAGGUGUACAUGUGGGUCGGUAAUCAGACCAGCCAGGUGGAGAUCAAACUGAGUCUCAAAGCCUGCCAGGGUUACAUCCAGCACAUGCGCUCCAAGGACGG